GUUGGGUAGGGGAGCGUUCUGUAAGCCUGCGAAGGUGGCCUGUGAGGGUUGCUGGAGGUAUCAGAAGUGCGAAUGCUGACAUAAGUAACGAUAAAGCGGGUGAAAAGCCCGCUCGCCGGAAGACCAAGGGUUCCUGUCCAACGUUAAUCGGGGCAGGGUGAGUCGACCCCUAAGGCGAGGCCGAAAGGCGUAGUCGAUGGGAAACGGGUUAAUAUUCCCGUACUUGGUGUUACUGCGAAGGGGGGACGGAGAAGGCUAUGUUGGCCGGGCGACGGUUGUCCCGGUUUAAGCGUGUAGGUGUGUGUUCCAGGUAAAUCCGGUUCACUUUAACACUGAGGCGUGAUGACGAGGCACUACGGUGCUGAAGCAACAAAUGCCCUGCUUCCAGGAAAAGCCUCUAAGCAUCAGGUAACAUCAAAUCGUACCCCAAACCGACACAGGUGGUCAGGUAGAGAAUACCAAGGCGCUUGAGAGAACUCGGGUGAAGGAACUAGGCAAAAUGGUGCCGUAACUUCGGGAGAAGGCACGCUGACACGUAGGUGAAGUGAUUUACUCAUGGAGCUGAAGUCAGUCGAAGAUACCAGCUGGCUGCAACUGUUUAUUAAAAACACAGCACUGUGCAAACACGAAAGUGGACGUAUACGGUGUGACGCCUGCCCGGUGCCGGAAGGUUAAUUGAUGGGGUCAGCGCAAGCGAAGCUCCUGAUCGAAGCCCCGGUAAACGGCGGCCGUAACUAUAACGGUCCUAAGGUAGCGAAAUUCCUUGUCGGGUAAGUUCCGACCUGCACGAAUGGCGUAAUGAUGGCCAGGCUGUCUCCACCCGAGACUCAGUGAAAUUGAACUCGCUGUGAAGAUGCAGUGUACCCGCGGCAAGACGGAAAGACCCCGUGAACCUUUACUAUAGCUUGACACUGAACAUUGAGCCUUGAUGUGUAGGAUAGGUGGGAGGCUUUGAAGUGUGGACGCCAGUCUGCAUGGAGCCGACCUUGAAAUACCACCCUUUAAUGUUUGAUGUUCUAACGUGGACCCGUUACCCGGGUUGCGGACAGUGUCUGGUGGGUAGUUUGACUGGGGCGGUCUCCUCCUAAAGAGUAACGGAGGAGCACGAAGGUUGGCUAAUCCUGGUCGGACAUCAGGAGGUUAGUGCAAUGGCAUAAGCCAGCUUGACUGCGAGCGUGACGGCGCGAGCAGGUGCGAAAGCAGGUCAUAGUGAUCCGGUGGUUCUGAAUGGAAGGGCCAUCGCUCAACGGAUAAAAGGUACUCCGGGGAUAACAGGCUGAUACCGCCCAAGAGUUCAUAUCGACGGCGGUGUUUGGCACCUCGAUGUCGGCUCAUCACAUCCUGGGGCUGAAGUAGGUCCCAAGGGUAUGGCUGUUCGCCAUUUAAAGUGGUACGCGAGCUGGGUUUAGAACGUCGUGAGACAGUUCGGUCCCUAUCUGCCGUGGGCGCUGGAGAACUGAGGGGGGCUGCUCCUAGUACGAGAGGACCGGAGUGGACGCAUCACUGGUGUUCGGGUUGUCAUGCCAAUGGCACUGCCCGGUAGCUAAAUGCGGAAGAGAUAAGUGCUGAAAGCAUCUAAGCACGAAACUUGCCCCGAGAUGAGUUCU
RNAcentral lists this ribosomal RNA (1607 nucleotides) under Salmonella enterica subsp. enterica serovar Heidelberg. RNAcentral's name for it is "bacterial LSU rRNA". It matches the Rfam family "Bacterial large subunit ribosomal RNA", at positions 1223 to 2812 of the family's 2925-position model. RNAcentral also lists the same sequence under 1 other name. The record is from RNAcentral. Lineage: Bacteria; Pseudomonadati; Pseudomonadota; Gammaproteobacteria; Enterobacterales; Enterobacteriaceae.